This 238-nucleotide unclassified non-coding RNA is filed under the name Naetrocymbe sp. RNAcentral describes it as "partial contains 5.8S ribosomal RNA, internal transcribed spacer 2, and large subunit ribosomal RNA". The stretch from base 1 to 52 matches the Rfam family "5.8S ribosomal RNA", at positions 103 to 154 of the family's 154-position model. RNAcentral also lists the same sequence under 2 other names. The record is from RNAcentral. Lineage: Eukaryota; Fungi; Ascomycota; Dothideomycetes; Pleosporales; Naetrocymbaceae.
AACGCACAUUGCGCCCGGUGGUAUUCCGCCGGGCAUGCCUGUUCGAGCGUCAUUAUAACCACUCAAGCCUGGCUUGGUAUUGGGGUUCGCGGUUCCGCGGCCCCUAAAAUCAGUGGCGGUGCCGGUGGGCUCUAAGCGUAGUAAAUCUCCUCGCUAUAGGGUCCCUCCGGUUGCUCGCCAGAACCCCCAAUUUUUUAAGGUUGACCUCGGAUCAGGUAGGGAUACCCGCUGAACUUAA